Molecule: non-coding RNA, 73 nt
Organism: Colias croceus (clouded yellow)
Lineage: Eukaryota; Metazoa; Arthropoda; Insecta; Lepidoptera; Pieridae
Source: the annotation of a RefSeq genome assembly
GUUUCCGUAGUGUAGCGGUUAUCACGUGUGCUUCACACGCACAAGGUCCCCGGUUCGAUCCCGGGCGGAAACA